Molecule: long non-coding RNA, 402 nt
Organism: Callithrix jacchus (white-tufted-ear marmoset)
Lineage: Eukaryota; Metazoa; Chordata; Mammalia; Primates; Cebidae
Source: RefSeq, a predicted model, not a curated record
UGUUGAUAAAAGAGAUUCCAGAACAAAUAAAGAUUUCUACAGUAAAAGCUGGGGAGGUGGGUAGGGCUCCAGGCUUUGGGCUAACAGCUUGGCUCUACAUUCCUUGCUGGAGAAAUCCAAGCCUCACAAAAGACCGCUUUUAAAGGAGAAACUCUUUUUUUUCCCCUUGAAGAACUAGAUUAAACUAAGAUCCUUUGCCAGUAAAAAGACAACAAUAGAAAAUACCUCCAGAUUAAGAAUCCCAACCAAGCUUUCAACGAAUUUACUUGCUUCAGCUCUAGGAGAACAGUUAUGACAUGAUGCUAAAUACAUCAGUGAGGAACCAGAGGACUCUGGGGAUGAACUUGCUGUACUGGCUGCACCGCUCUGGGAUGCCGAGACUCCUCACUGAAGUUACAUGGG